RNAcentral lists this ribosomal RNA (443 nucleotides) under uncultured bacterium. Its description in RNAcentral is "partial 16S ribosomal RNA". It matches the Rfam family "Bacterial small subunit ribosomal RNA", at positions 338 to 795 of the family's 1533-position model. The record is from RNAcentral.
CCUACGGGAGGCAGCAGUCGAGAAUCAUUCACAAUGGGGGAAACCCUGAUGGUGCGACGCCGCGUGAAGGAAGAAGGCUUUCGGGUUGUAAACUUCUUUUGUCAGGGACGAAGCAAGUGACGGUACCUGACGAAUAAGCCACGGCUAACUACGUGCCAGCAGCCGCGGUAAUACGUAGGUGGCAAGCGUUAUCCGGAUUUACUGGGUGUAAAGGGCGUGUAGGCGGGGAAGCAAGUCAGAUGUGAAAACCACGGGCUCAACCUGUGGCCUGCAUUUGAAACUGUUUUUCUUGAGUGCUGGAGAGGCAAUCGGAAUUCCGUGUGUAGCGGUGAAAUGCGUAGAUAUACGGAGGAACACCAGUGGCGAAGGCGGAUUGCUGGACAGUAACUGACGCUGAGGCGCGAAAGCGUGGGGAGCAAACAGGAUUAGAUACCCCUGUAGUC